UACCAGCUCUCCGAGUGGUAGGGAUGUUUAUUGGGCUUAAAGCGUCCGUAGCCGGCUUAGCAAGUCUCCUGUUAAAUUCAGCGACCUAAUCGUUGAGCCGCGGGAGAUACUACUAGGCUAGGAGGCGGGAGAGGUCGACGGUACUUCUGGGGUAGGGGUGAAAUCCUAUAAUCCCGGGAGGACCACCAGUGGCGAAGGCUGUCGACUAGAACGCGCUCGACGGUGAGGGACGAAAGCUGGGGGAGCGAACCGGAUUAGAUACCCGGGUAGUCCCAGCUGUAAACGAUGCGGGCUAGGUGUUGGGGUGGCUACGUGCCACUUCAGUGCCGCAGGGAAGCCAUUAAGCCCGCCGCCUGGGGAGUACGGCCGCAAGGCUGAAACUUAAGGAAUUGGCGGGGGAGCACCACAAGGGGUGAAGCUUGCGGUUC
RNAcentral lists this ribosomal RNA (428 nucleotides) under uncultured archaeon. RNAcentral's name for it is "bacterial SSU rRNA". It matches the Rfam family "Archaeal small subunit ribosomal RNA", at positions 474 to 903 of the family's 1478-position model. The record is from RNAcentral.